UGAUCAGCCACACUGGAACUGAGACACGGUCCAGACUCCUACGGGAGGCAGCAGUGGGGAAUAUUGCACAAUGGGCGCAAGCCUGAUGCAGCCAUGCCGCGUGUAUGAAGAAGGCCUUCGGGUUGUAAAGUACUUUCAGUAGGGAGGAAGGUGGUUAAGUUAAUACCUUAAUCAUUUGACGUUACCUACAGAAGAAGCACCGGCUA
Molecule: ribosomal RNA, 206 nt
Filed under: Vibrio cholerae
Lineage: Bacteria; Pseudomonadati; Pseudomonadota; Gammaproteobacteria; Vibrionales; Vibrionaceae
Description: partial 16S ribosomal RNA
Rfam family: Bacterial small subunit ribosomal RNA
Source: RNAcentral